UACGUAGGCAGCAAGCGUUGUUCGGUGUUACUGGGCGUAAAGAGUGCGUAGGCGGUCCUCUAAGUUCGGUGUGAAAUCUCCCGGCUCAACUGGGAGGGUGCGCCGGAAACUGGAGGGCUUGAGUAUGGGAGAGGAAAGCGGAAUUCCUGGUGUAGCGGUGAAAUGCGUAGAUAUCAGGAGGAACACCUGUGGUGUAGACGGCUUUCUGGACCAUGACUGACGCUGAGGCACGAAAGCGUGGGGAGCAAACAGG
Molecule: ribosomal RNA, 253 nt
Filed under: uncultured prokaryote
Description: partial 16S ribosomal RNA
Rfam family: Bacterial small subunit ribosomal RNA
Source: RNAcentral